This 531-nucleotide ribosomal RNA is filed under the name uncultured bacterium. RNAcentral's name for it is "bacterial SSU rRNA". It matches the Rfam family "Bacterial small subunit ribosomal RNA", at positions 777 to 1304 of the family's 1533-position model. The record is from RNAcentral.
AAUAGAUACCCAGGUAGUCCACGCCGUAAACGAUGAGUGCUAAGUGUUAGGGGGUUUCCGCCCCUUAGUGGCUGCAGCUAACGCAUUAAGCACUCCGCCUGGGGAGUACGGUCGCAAGACUGAAACUCAAAGGAAUUGACGGGGGGCCCGCACAAGCGGUGGAGCAUGUGGUUUAAUUCGAAGCAACGCGAAGAACCUUACCAGGUCUUGACAUCCCGCUGACCGGCCUAGAGAUAGGUCUUUCCCUUCGGGGACAGCGGUGACAGGUGGUGCAUGGUUGUCGUCAGCUCGUGUCGUGAGAUGUUGGGUUAAGUCCCGCAACGAGCGCAACCCUUGAUCUUAGUUGCCAGCAUUCAGUUGGGCACUCUAAGGUGACUGCCGGUGAUAAACCGGAGGAAGGUGGGGAUGACGUCAAAUCAUCAUGCCCCUUAUGACCUGGGCUACACACGUGCUACAAUGGACGGUACAGAGGGUCGCAACCCCGCGAGGGUGAGCUAAUCCCAUAAAACCGUUCUCAGUUCGGAUUGUAGG